CAGCCGCCGCGGGAAAACGUAGGUGGCAAGCGUUGUCCGGAAUUAUUGGGCGUAAAGGGCUCGCAGGCGGUUUCUUAAGUCUGAUGUGAAAGCCCCCGGCUCAACCGGGGAGGGUCAUUGGAAACUGGGAAACUUGAGUGCAGAGGAGGAGAGUGGAAUUCCACGUGUAGCGGUGAAAUGCGUAGAGAUGUGGAGGAACACCAGUGGCGAAGGCGACUCUCUGGUCUGUAACUGACGCUGAGGAGCGAAAGCGUGGGGAGCGAACAGGAUUAGAUACCCGCGUAGUCCCUGUCUCUUAUAC
This 301-nucleotide ribosomal RNA is filed under the name uncultured bacterium. Its description in RNAcentral is "partial 16S ribosomal RNA". It matches the Rfam family "Bacterial small subunit ribosomal RNA", at positions 509 to 807 of the family's 1533-position model. The record is from RNAcentral.